GUAGAUGAACCUGCGGAAGGAUCAUUACAGAGUUCAUGCCCUCACGGAUAGAUCUCCCACCCUUGAAUAUUAUACCUUCGUUGCUUAGGCAGGCCAUGGAAACACCAUGAGCUCCGGCUGAUGCGUGCCUGCCAGAGGAAACAAAACUCUGUUUUUAGUGAUGUCGGAGUACUAUAUAAUAGUUAAAACCUUCAACAACGGAUCUCUUGGUUCUG
Molecule: unclassified non-coding RNA, 215 nt
Filed under: rhizosphere metagenome
Description: partial ribosomal RNA internal transcribed spacer region
Source: RNAcentral